GGGCUCGGCGCGUAGUCUUUAUUAUUUCAGCGUUGUUCGUGGAACAGGUCUGAUCAUAACCAUGAGUGGAA
Non-coding RNA from Pangasianodon gigas (Mekong giant catfish), 71 nucleotides. NCBI's taxonomy places the organism in Eukaryota, Metazoa, Chordata, Actinopteri, Siluriformes, Pangasiidae. The record is from the annotation of a GenBank genome assembly.